GUAAGGAAUAUUGGUCAAUGGAGGCAACUCUGAACCAGCCAUGCCGCGUGCAGGAUGACGGCCCUAUGGGUUGUAAACUGCUUUUGUACCAGAGAAAACCCCAGUACGUGUACUGGGUUGAUAGUAUGGUAAGAAUAAGCAUCGGCUAACUUCGUGCCAGCAGCCGCGGUAAGACGAAGGAUGCAAGCGUUAUCCGGAUUCAUUGGGUUUAAAGGGUGCGUAGGCGGACUUGUAAGUCAGUGGUGAAAUCUCUCAGCUUAACUGAGAAACUGCCAUUGAUACUGCAGGUCUAGAGUAUAGAUGACGUUGGCGGAAUAUGACAUGUAGUGGUGAAAUACUUAGAUAUGUCAUAGAACACCGAUUGCGAAGGCAGCUAACGAAACUAUAACUGACGCUGAGGCACGAAAGUGCGGGGAUCAAACAGGAUUAGAUACCCCAGUAGUCC
This 445-nucleotide ribosomal RNA is filed under the name uncultured bacterium. Its description in RNAcentral is "bacterial SSU rRNA". It matches the Rfam family "Bacterial small subunit ribosomal RNA", at positions 354 to 796 of the family's 1533-position model. The record is from RNAcentral.